Molecule: transfer RNA, 77 nt
Filed under: Burkholderia ambifaria MEX-5
Lineage: Bacteria; Pseudomonadati; Pseudomonadota; Betaproteobacteria; Burkholderiales; Burkholderiaceae
Description: tRNA-Met
Rfam family: tRNA
About the family: Transfer RNA (tRNA) molecules are approximately 80 nucleotides in length.
Source: RNAcentral
GGGCCUGUAGCUCAGACGGUCAGAGCAGUCGACUCAUAAUCGAUUGGUCGCUGGUUCAAAUCCAGCCAGGCCCACCA